RNAcentral lists this long non-coding RNA (972 nucleotides) under Oreochromis niloticus (Nile tilapia). RNAcentral's name for it is "lncRNA (ENSONIG00000033915.1)". The record is from RNAcentral. Lineage: Eukaryota; Metazoa; Chordata; Actinopteri; Cichliformes; Cichlidae.
CACUGACAAAUGUGAAGUCAAGGACGCUGGUGUCCAGACAGAGGUUUCGUGCCCUCCCAACUCGCUGCUGUUUUUCUGCACAAAAAAGGUGACCUUCGAUGAUGAGCCGCUCUGUCCUGAAGUCCCUGAGAGAGAUGAGCCAGUUUCCAGGCCGUCUACCCCAGCAGGUCAUGGUGGGAGCCAGGGGGCUACGUUGGACACAGAGUAUGGAUACCGCUCAACGUCUCUGACCUCCUGCACAAACAUCCUCUCCCAAUGAGAGCUGGACUGCCUCAGAUUGCCUAACCUGAAGCAUACAUGCUACAUGGGCCCUGCUCUGCAAACUGUCCUCACACUGAGAGUCUUUACUGAGGAGCUCUGCAGCCAGCUGCAGCUGUGGAGGUUUCACCCAGAGUGCCUGCACAUCAGUCAGUUUGUGGACAUCAAAUUGAGCCGCUUCAACAACGACAGCUGGCACAAAAGCUCUGUCCUGACUGCCUUUAGAGACACGGUUGCUGCGUCUCAUCCAGAGUUUGAUGAUGAUGAUCAGAAAGACGCCCACGAGUUCCUCGUCUGUGCUCUGGACGUGCUCCAGUGUGAGUUCUCUAAGCUGCAGGCUGAAGCAGCUGCCUUGGACAAACCUUCCAUCUGUCCAGUUAGAGCUCACAUUGGCUUCACGAUUUUGAGCAAAGAGCUGCAAAAAAUGUGGUGUGCAGUUCUUUGGGCGGGAGGACUAACUCCACCUCUCCUUGGACCUGGUACAUCGAGGCUCAGUGAGCCAGUGCCUGGACUCAUACCUGAAAGUAAGAGCUCGUUUAGACUCCAUUCUGUGAACGGGCUUGCUCCCACAAAUAUAUGAAUUCAUCUGUGAAAGAGUUCAACUCUAAUGAACCUUUUCCUCCUGCUCCCUGCUGCAGGGUGGCCUGUUGGACUAUGAGUGCCAGUGCGGAGCCAAGAAGAUGAAAGAGGAGCUGUCUUUCUUGAACCUGCCCA